AAGUCGUAACAAGGUAACCGUAGGUGAACCUGCGGUUGGAUCAUUAGUGGUUUUUUGGCAGCGCUGUUGUAGUGUAUGGUGGAGGUGUUGGGUUUUGGUUUGGGUUUGUUGUUGGUUGUGCUGUGUUGCCUGGCCUUGGUCUUGGCACAGCAACGGACGACGGCACACUCGGACCAGACCCAACAGACCUCGCCAGAUAGACGUCUUUGCUUGCUUUGAUGAAACCAAAUCAAAAACAACUUUUGACAACGGAUCUCUUGGCUCUC
This 266-nucleotide unclassified non-coding RNA is filed under the name fungal sp. RNAcentral describes it as "partial internal transcribed spacer region". The stretch from base 1 to 46 matches the Rfam family "Eukaryotic small subunit ribosomal RNA", at positions 1786 to 1831 of the family's 1831-position model. The record is from RNAcentral. Lineage: Eukaryota; Fungi.